Molecule: ribosomal RNA, 762 nt
Filed under: Plasmopara obducens
Lineage: Eukaryota; Oomycota; Peronosporomycetes; Peronosporales; Peronosporaceae
Description: LSU rRNA
Rfam family: Eukaryotic large subunit ribosomal RNA
Source: RNAcentral
UCAAUAAGCGGAGGAAAAGAAACUAACAAGGAUUCCCCUAGUAACGGCGAGUGAAGCGGGAUGAGCUCAAGCUUAAAAUCUCCGUGCAAUUUUUGCACGGCGAAUUGUAGUCUAUAGAGGCGUGGUCAGUAUAAGCACUUGGGGUAAGUUCCUUGGAAAAGGACAGCAUGGAGGGUGAUACUCCCGUUCAUCUCUAAGUUGCUUGUGCGUACGACCCGUUUUCUUUGAGUCGCGUUGUUUGAGAAUGCAGCGCAAAGUAGGUGGUAAAUUCCAUCUAAAGCUAAAUAUUGGUGCGAGACCGAUAGCAAACAAGUACCGUGAGGGAAAGAUGAAAAGAACUUUGAAAAUAGAGUUAAAGAGUACCUGAAACUGCUGAAAGGGAACCAAAUCGUUUCCAGUGUCUAUAAUCCGUGGUAUAUUUCAUUGGCGAGUGUGUGCGUGCGUGUGCUGUUGCAGUAGCUUUUUGGCUGCGCUCAGUGUGUGUGCUGUGUGUACUUGCUGGUGCCCUGUGCUACGGUGGGACGUCAAGGUCAGUUCGUAUGCUGCGGGAAAUGGCUACUGAGGAGGUAGGGCUUACGCUUGCGUUUGUCUGUUAUAUCUUGGUGGACGAGUCGUCGCGGUUGGGACUGAGGUGCCUACAACGUGCUUUUGAGUGGGCUUGGGUCUCCGUGUGCGCCGUGUGCGGAUAGCUUGCUAUGCGUGUGUGGUUGUAUGUGGAUUGAUGCGAGCCGUAACUUGUAGUCGUUCGGGACGUUGACGAAA